This 497-nucleotide ribosomal RNA is filed under the name uncultured bacterium. RNAcentral describes it as "partial 16S ribosomal RNA". It matches the Rfam family "Bacterial small subunit ribosomal RNA", at positions 28 to 507 of the family's 1533-position model. The record is from RNAcentral.
GAUGAACGCUGGCGGCGUGCCUAAUACAUGCAAGUCGAGCGAACAGACGAGGAGCUUGCUCCUUUGACGUUAGCGGCGGACGGGUGAGUAACACGUAGUUAACCUACCUAUAAGUCUGGGAUAACUUCGGGAAACCGGAGCUAAUACCGGAUAAUAUUUCGAACCGCAUGGUUCGAUAUUGAAAGAUGGCUUUGCUAUCACUUAUAGAUGGAUCUGCGCCGUAUUAGCUAGUUGUUAAGGUAACGGCUUACCAAGGCAACGAUACGUAGCCGACCUGAGAGGGUGAUCGGCCACACUGGAACUGAGACACGGUCCAGACUCCUACGGGAGGCAGCAGUAGGGAAUCUUCCGCAAUGGGCGAAAGCCUGACGGAGCAACGCCGCGUGAGUGAUGAAGGUCUUCGGAUCGUAAAACUCUGUUAUUAGGGAAGAACAAACGUGUAAGUAACUGUGCACGUCUUGACGGUACCUAAUCAGAAAGCCACGGCUAACUACGUG